RNAcentral lists this long non-coding RNA (1574 nucleotides) under Homo sapiens (human). Its description in RNAcentral is "HSALNT0113620". Lineage: Eukaryota; Metazoa; Chordata; Mammalia; Primates; Hominidae. The record is from RNAcentral.
CCGCCUGCUGACGUCAGCGCCUGCCUACGCCGCCGUUCCCAUGGCGACCGAUGCGUCCCGCGCUCUAGGCGAAGACCGCGGCCCCGUCCCCGCGCCUCCACCGCCUUCUUCCAGGAGGAGGGGCCGUGCGGCGCCUGCCCGGGGGCCCUCAGGCCGCAGGCGGGCGCGAGCUUCAGGGAACUUAGGGGGCUCCCGCCUCCCCGGCCACGCGAGCGGGAACAGUCUCCUCCACUCGGAGCGGCGCCAUCUUCAGCUCUGAGUCACCAGGGCUGGAAAAAUACUAGAUGCGCUACUCGUGGACUCGUGAAUACACUCGUGAAUACAGGCCAUUUCCUGUACCUACAGCCACCCGCUGUAAGCUGUUGCUUCAUUUGUACAGUAAGAGUUUAUGGAGGCCAGCUUUUCCAUUCUUACUGACAUUGCCACACCUUACAAACUAUAUGUCUUGUGCUUCCCUAAAUCCUGUGAGGAAGCAACGAGAAAGAUUACUAAUCCAAUGCGUACCGAACUGAGCUGUUCAACUUUCCGUUCUAAACAUACUCUCCUAGAUUUCUAUCUUGCUGUAAGCCACCACAAUCCUCCCAGUGUUUUAGUAAGAACAGUAGAGUAUCCUAAAUGCAUCUUAUGCCAAAGCAUAUCCAUUCUCUCUUUUUAACUUCCUCAGAUGGGCCCUUUACCAGUUCUCUGACUCCAGUUUGACUCUUAAAUUCUCCACACUGCUAUCAGAAUGACCUGACUAAAAAUGUAAAUCGGAUAAUGGCACUCUCCUGCUGAAAAUUUUUGAAAGGCAAUCUGUAAGAGAAAAUGAUUACUUUGCCUAGGAUACAAGAUUCUCCAUCUCCCUGACUAGUUUCAUCUCUCGUUAGCUUCUUGUUCCAAUUUUAUGCAAUAUUGAAUCAUGUGUACCAUGCAGUUUUAUGCAACAUUGAAUUAUGUGUACCAUGAAAAACAAUCCAUAGCCUUUCACGCCCCGUCCUUACUCAUAUUGUCCUCUCUUCCUGAAAAUUCCUCCUUUUACACUCCUGCAUCACAGCCAAAUGUUGUCCAUCCUUUGAAUCUUAAGCAGGUUGACUGACUCCUUCAAACACUCCUACUCCCUAUUAGACUUCGGAUACUCAUUCUAUAUAUUAGACUUUGGAUGCUCAUUCUAUAGUUUCAUAGUUUACUUUGUAUUUUCUCUAUCCCCAGCAUCUACCACAGUGUCUAUGAAAUAGUUGGCAUUUCAUGAACAUUUGUUGAAUGAAUAAUGGAUAACAUAUAUUGAGCUCCUUCUAGGAGGUAUGCAUUGUAGGUGUUUUAUGUACUUUUCAUCUGUCCUCACAACUGCAUUUAAGUACCUGCUUUUCCAAAGGGAAGUUAUAACUCUGACUGCUCAUUCUUAGUAGGGUGUUAGUUUCAGAAUACAAUCCCCAGACUAGCGGAUGUGUAACCCUGUUAUCAUCUCUUGCUUCUCCAUUUACAGUAGCAUGCAGAGGUGCAGUGGGGUGGGGGAGGUCAGGGAAUAUUUCAUAGCAGAAGUGACAUUUAAGUAAAGACCAAAAUAAUGUGUAGAGUUGUCCAGGUUAGGAAGGGUU